GCUAGGCGUGGUGGCCUGCGCCUGUAAUCCCAGCCACUUGGGAGGCUGAGGCAGAAGAAUCGCUUGAACCUAGGAGGCAGAGGUUGCAGUGAGCCAAGAUCGUGCCACUGCACUCCAGCCUGGGUAACAGAGCAAGACUCUGUCUCCA
RNAcentral lists this small RNA (148 nucleotides) under Papio anubis (olive baboon). RNAcentral's name for it is "Metazoan signal recognition particle RNA (ENSPANG00000036954.1)". Lineage: Eukaryota; Metazoa; Chordata; Mammalia; Primates; Cercopithecidae. The record is from Rfam by way of RNAcentral.